AUAAUCAACAUGUGCUGUGAUACUCAGAAAAACCUCCGAUAUCAGAAACUAAGAUCGCAGUUGAACGAUCUUGGCUAUCUUCACCACUAAGCAAAGAUUCGUUGCUGUUAGUGGAGCAUUUACUAGCUGACUACCUUCACACAUCACAAAAAUUGAAGUACUACAAGGAGACUGCCCAUAAUAGUAUUCAGGCAUGUCGUAAUUUAGAAAUAAGUGUUGAACCCUACAAAAGUGACAAUGCAAAACUUGUUACACAUUGAACUGCUUACAUAAUCAAAUUUUAGAAGAAAAACCCAUUUCGAAGAAAGAAUUCAUGGUUUGAAGUUACAAGUGAAAAAAGUAGAAGCUGAAAGAUCUGACCUUGAGGACCUAGUGAGUCUGCAAACAACUCGUAUUCAGGCGCUGGAACAUGAGUCUCAACUGAAAAAUGAGAGAUUACUGCAGCUUCAAGGCCUUGAUUUAAAACCUAUUAUCACUACCGCUGUUGGUAGUAAAAAGCGGUCAGCCCCUCUUGCAAAAAAGAAGAGUUUUACACGUUUGGAGAUAGACCCUGGUGUUGAAAGCAUCAAGGAUUGGCAAACAUACUACUCGGAAAUCAACCGACUGAAUGAAGAUCCAGUAGUAGUCGAUCUUGUAAUAUUGACAGAGAAGCGUAUCGAGAGCUUGCAGAAAACAAUAAAUGAUGUUGAAGCAGAAAAGCAGUACCUGCAAGAAGAAUUAGAACUAUGUGCCACAAAGAUCUCUGAUCGAGAUGUUGAGAUUGACCGAUUGCAGAAACUUUUAGGCAGUGGUCGCCCUGCCGAAGCUGUGAAUCGUGAGUUUUACACAGAGGGCACGUUAGAGGGUGCUAGCGAUAUGAACCCAAACAUGGACAACUGCAGUAAUAGCACUGUAAAUAGCAAAACUCUUUUCCUGCAGCAACGACUGGAAGAAGCAAUAGAAAAACAACAUGAAGCUAUGUGCACCGCUGUGCGAUUAGCUGACCACAAUCGCCUUUUAGAAGCUCAGUUGAAGUGCGCAGUCGAGUCCAGAUGUCACUGCAGUACCCCUCCUGAAGACGGAACAAGUGAAUGCCGUAAAACAGAUGCCACUGAGAAGACGGAGCAUGUGCAGCAAAACUUUUUACAAUGCAUGACUGAAUUGAAUCGGCGAGUCGAUGAAUUGAUGGCUGAUAAUGACAGUUUAAGGAAAUGUGCAGAAAAAAGUGCAGAGGAGAGGAAAAAACUGACAAACAAAGUGAAUGAACUAACAGCUAUUGGUAAGUCUUGUUUCAGUAUCAUUCAUCUUUUGUUUUAGAUCGAUAAUGACGUUAAAUUUUACUAUGGUUAGGUAUGUUAGAAGGGAUUUAAUAUAGUGAGAUUUGUUUUAGUACGGAUUAACAUUGAUUGGUCCUACUUCAUCCUAAUUUCCCAAGACAUCAGUAGCAUGCAACCACCAAGGAAGGAAAGGAAACAAAGAAAAAAAAAUUAACAAUCGAAAAAAAGUUCAAGUGAAACAAAAGAUAUUGUUGAUUUGAAGUAACUAUGUCUUAACCAACGCCAGUUGUUUUGGCGUUCUUCACAAUGUUUGGAAUGAGGGUCUAGCAUCAACUAAUCUCAAGAUCCAGACCAAAUUUGUAUUUUUCAGUUAGAAAUAAGUUUUUUGAAAACAUUCUAUGUUUGUCCAAAAACAUCCAUUAUACAGUUUUUUAAUGUGGAAACUCAAUAAUUAUUAAGUACCAAUAGAAGGAGAAUAUUGAUAACUUAAGUCGAAAAAUUGAUGCCAUUAUUAGUUGACUUCUUAGAAAAACCUCUAACAAAAUUAGAGCACAAGUUUUGAAACUCAACAAAUGAUUUUGGGUGAAAAUCCUGUCUAUGUGUUUUGGAACUGAAAAUGUGUUCCGACAUAAGAAGUUGUAAUUUUAAGUGGCACUGACGUACACAAGAUUUUCUGACAUUGUUCCUAAGGACAUGAAAAUGGGACCAGACUAAAAUUACGGUAUGAACGGACUUUCAAUGUCAAUAUAUUCCAAUUCAGUGGGUAUUUUACCGUACUAUAUCAUCCCUUAUCAAAACUGACUUCAAUGGAGUUUAAAUAUCCCUUUCUCAGAAAAAAUGAUUUUUUUAAGUUGAAAAAAAUGCAUCUGCUAUGUGUCAUCACAAAUUUAAUCCCAACUCUCUUUGAAAUUAGAAAAUGCA
Molecule: long non-coding RNA, 2177 nt
Filed under: Bemisia tabaci
Lineage: Eukaryota; Metazoa; Arthropoda; Insecta; Hemiptera; Aleyrodidae
Description: lncRNA ENSSWEETPG001755
Source: RNAcentral